GUUUAGCAUACAGCCCGCGCACACCUCUUCAUUCAAACGGUGACAUCGUGUGACUCAGGUGUUUGUUUAAAAGACUGCUUGAGUCUCUCCUGUAAAGACAUCUUGGUCAUUUAAAGAUUGAGCAGUUUAAUUUUAUCUAUCAAAUAACUGUCCUCAUCACUGAUUUUCUGGAGCUCAGCCAUUCAACAACACACAUUGUCAACAGUCAAUCAACAGAUCUGAAUGCACAGAUGAACAUUACAAGAUGAGACUGUUGAAAGACAAAACAUUUCAGAUAGUACCAUAUACAAGUUUGAAAGAAGCACUAAAUACAAGAGAUAAAGGACUCACAGGCAAUCCAGGAGGACCAGGAGGACCAAUUGGACCAGAAGCACCACUGAUGCCCUAAAUAUAAAGAGCAAAUGGUUAGAAAGCAUAACUUCAUAUGACUGAUUUGUCAAUGGAUGUAAGAGACAAGCAUGUGAAGUGUUAGUUAGCAGAACUUCAAAACAGCCGUGUGAGGCGAUGAGGCGUUUACUUUUUUUUUUUUUGAAAGAGAUGAAAACAACUCUUCUAAUCAUAUCAUUCCUCUGUUGUGCACUGGCAAUGAUCAUUACACUUCAUUAAACU
RNAcentral lists this long non-coding RNA (609 nucleotides) under Danio rerio (zebrafish). RNAcentral describes it as "si:ch211-266k13.3 (ENSDARG00000097841.3)". The record is from RNAcentral. Lineage: Eukaryota; Metazoa; Chordata; Actinopteri; Cypriniformes; Danionidae.